GAAUGGGAGAAUCCACACAAGUCUUUAAUCUCCAUCAAGCCAAGAUAUUGUUUCUGCUUUGUUCUGAAUUUUAAGAUAAAUCCUUCACGACGCUGUCGUCGUCUCGUUUUGUGGUCUUCAUUUCCUCCUGAUUAUAAAUAAGAAUCUGGUUUCCCUUUAGCAGGACUGGGUGGCAGGGGAGUUCAAACUCUUCUGUUCACAGCCAGCAAGAACUGCUUUUCCCACUGCAGGGGUUCAGAUCUUCAGCUCCCUGGACUGAGAGUGCUUUGAUGCUUUCCAGCCCCAGCUCAAACACCAAGGAUUUCCUGCCACCAUAAAGCUGUAAUUGCUGAAUUAAUAACAGCAGGUUUUGAAGAGUGACUGCACAGACUCUCUGACCCAGCCAGAAUAAUUUUGCUGUGUGAGGGAGAACUCCUGAAAUGGAAGCUGAUUUGGAGAAUAUGUCUGACAAAAGCAACGGUGCUGCAGCUUGGGAGUGCAGGCAAGCCCAGGAGAAGAUAUUUUCCUGAAGUGAGGAGUGAAGCCUUCCAUUCCAGUGCCAGAGGAGUGAGUUGUGAGAUCCAAAGUGCAGAUUUGCUGUUGCUCCUCUCCAACACAGAGGGUGGAAAAUGUGACCAAAGAUGCAGAACAUGAGGAAGCAGAGGACAAGCUGGACAUCCCAGACUCCACUCCUGCUGAUGAACUCAUUCUUUCAUGCCACCGAGGUGGCUUGAGUGACACUCCCACUGCAAUUACAGUGGCAGCCUUGGCACGUUUAGGGCUGGGAUGGAAUCAGCCCUGGGCCACUCUCUGCAGUGUUUGCUUGAGGAAGCCCAAAGUGAAGGACACCAAGGUUUUGUCCUCGCAGGACACAGAGGGACACGUGUGCUCUGGGCUCUGCCAGGCGCCACUCAAAGCACUCCAACUUGGCUCCUGCUCUGAACCAACCCCAGGAGGAGGCUGCUUCUCCCCACAGACUCCAGAAACUGUUUGAAGACAUGACCAGCAGCAAAGGACAUUUCUUGAGGAAAAUCCUCUACUGGAAACAAGACACAGACUUCUCCUGGGGAUUUACCUGGAGUGAGAUCAAAAGAAAACUGCCUUUCUCCCCUUCCUGCAUAAAGGUGCAAAUUUUGUUUUGACUAGUGAUGUUGAAAAGAAAUAAAUAAAUUUCUGGAG
Molecule: long non-coding RNA, 1158 nt
Organism: Serinus canaria (Common canary)
Lineage: Eukaryota; Metazoa; Chordata; Aves; Passeriformes; Fringillidae
Exons: 8
Source: RefSeq, a predicted model, not a curated record